AUUGAACGCUGGCGGCAUGCUUUACACAUGCAAGUCGAACGGCAGCGCGGGCUUCGGCCUGGCGGCGAGUGGCGAACGGGUGAGUAAUACAUCGGAACGUGCCCAGUAGUGGGGGAUAGCUCGGCGAAAGCCGGAUUAAUACCGCAUACGACCUGAGGGUGAAAGCGGGGGAACUUCGGACCUCGCGCUAUUGGAGCGGCCGAUGGCAGAUUAGCUAGUUGGUGGGGUAAAGGCCUACCAAGGCGACGAUCUGUAGCUGGUCUGAGAGGACGACCAGCCACACUGGGACUGAGACACGGCCCAGACUCCUACGGGAGGCAGCAGUGGGGAAUUUUGGACAAUGGGCGAAAGCCUGAUCCAGCAAUGCCGCGUGUGUGAUGAAGGCCUUCGGGUUGUAAAGCACUUUUGGCGGGGACGAAAAGGACUGUGCCAAUACCACGGUUCGAUGACGGUACCCGCAGAAUAAGCACCGGCUAACUACGUG
RNAcentral lists this ribosomal RNA (484 nucleotides) under uncultured bacterium. RNAcentral's name for it is "partial 16S ribosomal RNA". It matches the Rfam family "Bacterial small subunit ribosomal RNA", at positions 29 to 507 of the family's 1533-position model. The record is from RNAcentral.